UGCAUGUGUAGGUNUAACCUGUAUACCGGUAAACUGCGAAUGGCUCGGUAAAUCAGUUAUAGUUUAUUUGAUAGUGCAACCUACUCGGAUAACCGUAGUAACACUAGAGCUAAUACGUGCGUAAAUCCCGACUUUCGGAAGGGACGUAUUUAUUAGAUUGAUGGCUAACCGGGCUUGCCCGACCAGCGGUGAAUCAUGGUAACUUGACGGAUUGCAUGGCCCCAGUGCCGGCGACGUGUCAUUCAAGUUUCUGCCCCAUCAGGUUUCGACUGUAGUGUAUUGGACUACAGUGCCUAUAACGGGUAGCGGAGGAUUAGGGUUCGAUUCCGGAGAGGGAGCCUGANAAACGGCUACCACAUCCAAGGAAGGCAGCAGGCGCGCAAAUUACCCAAUCCCAAUUCAGGGAGGUAGUGACAAGAAAUAACAAUGCGGAGCUUUUUGUUCUGCAAUUGAAAUGAGAACAAUUUAAACCACUUAACGAGUAUCAAUUGGAGGGCAAGUCUGGUGCCANCAGCCGCGGUAAUUCCAGCUCCAAUAGCGUAUAUGUAAGUUGUUGCGAUUAAAAAGCCCGUANCUGAACCUCGGGCAGCCCUGAUGGUCCGCCUAUGGUGAGUACUGUCGUGGGCUGUCUUUCUGCUACGCGCUGUAUCUCGGCGUUUACUCGCCGGGAACAGAGCUUANCAAGGUUACUUUGAGUAAAAUAGAGUGUUCAAAGCAAGCAUGCGCUCUGAAUACACUANCAUGGGAUAACACGACAUGACCGAUGGUCUAUCUUGUUGGCCUGUANACCCGUUGGUAAUGGCAAAUAGGGACGGCCGGGGGUAUCGGUAUUCCGUUGUC
Molecule: ribosomal RNA, 840 nt
Filed under: Lychaete dotyana
Lineage: Eukaryota; Viridiplantae; Chlorophyta; Ulvophyceae; Cladophorales; Cladophoraceae
Description: SSU rRNA
Rfam family: Eukaryotic small subunit ribosomal RNA
Source: RNAcentral